RNAcentral lists this ribosomal RNA (433 nucleotides) under uncultured bacterium. RNAcentral's name for it is "bacterial SSU rRNA". It matches the Rfam family "Bacterial small subunit ribosomal RNA", at positions 957 to 1391 of the family's 1533-position model. The record is from RNAcentral.
GAACGCGAAGAACCUUACCAGGUCUUGACAUCCCGAUGCUAUUUCUAGAGAUAGAAAGUUACUUCGGUACAUCGGUGACAGGUGGUGCAUGGUUGUCGUCAGCUCGUGUCGUGAGAUGUUGGGUUAAGUCCCGCAACGAGCGCAACCCCUAUUGUUAGUUGCCAUCAUUCAGUUGGGCACUCUAGCGAGACUGCCGGUAAUAAACCGGAGGAAGGUGGGGAUGACGUCAAAUCAUCAUGCCCCUUAUGACCUGGGCUACACACGUGCUACAAUGGUUGGUACAACGAGUUGCGAGUCGGUGACGGCAAGCUAAUCUCUUAAAGCCAAUCUCAGUUCGGAUUGUAGGCUGCAACUCGCNUACAUGAAGUCGGAAUCGCUAGUAAUCGCGGAUCAGCACGCCCCGGUGAAUACGUUCCCGGGUCUUGUACACACC